RNAcentral lists this ribosomal RNA (1593 nucleotides) under Triticum aestivum (bread wheat). Its description in RNAcentral is "partial small subunit ribosomal RNA". Lineage: Eukaryota; Viridiplantae; Streptophyta; Magnoliopsida; Poales; Poaceae. The record is from RNAcentral.
AUGGGAGGGCUCCUAUGCCAGAGGGAAAAAGAACAAUGUGCUUGCAAAAAGGUUCUAAAUGAUGCUAUAUGGUCAGUAUCCCAAAUGCUAGAAGAGCUAAAUUAUGCAAUAUUGCUUAGCUAUGAGGACUUGCCCUCUUGUUUGAGGCAAUGCUUUCUCCAUUUCUCCAUUAAACCUAAAAAGAAACAUACGCCAUCCUAUCAAAUUGUCGGCAUGUGGGUCAGUGAAGGUUUUGUUCAUGGAAACUCAAAUGGAUUAGAAGAAUCAAGACUUGAGUAUUACAAGGAAUGAUACUACGUGACCUUAUAGAUCCAGAUCCAGAUGACAUUGGCUCUAGAUAUGUGCAAUAUGCAUGAUGUCGUUCGCUCAUUUGCUCAAUUUUUAGCUAGAGAUGGCGCACUAAUAACUCACAAUGGAGAAAAUAUUAACCACAAAAUUAGUUUGCAAAGGCUUCUUAGGUUGUCUGUCGACACCGAAGGAUUGGAAUAAGAUGAAUUUGAGUGGAGAACUUUACAAGAGCAGAAAUCACUUACAUCAUUAAUGAUAAUUGGGAGUUUCAAGAUACAGUCAGAUGAUUCAUUGGGAACCUUUUCAAGCCUACGGACACUAAAUAUAGAAUCCUCAAAUUUUGUCGCCUUGACUGAAUCUCUGUAUAAGCUGAAACACUUGAGGUAUUUGGCGUUAAAAAAAUGCAAUGACUUAAAUAGACUACCGGAGAACAUCCAUAGGAUGAAAUUUCUACAACACAUUAGCCUUGAAGGAUGUGAUAAUUUUGUGAAACUUCCCAGUAGCAUUGUAAUGUUAAGAGAACUGAGAUACCUUGACCUUGACGAGACAUCUGUAAGUAGUAUGCCUAGGGGUUUUUGUGCUUUAACAAAUCUGAGGACACUUUAUGGGUUUAGAGCCCACAUGGAUGAUGAUUGGUGUAGUUUGGAAGAGCUCCGGCCUCUUUCCAACUUUAGGCGCCUUGGAUUAGUGGGUUUGAAGAAUGUAUCCGCUGCCUCAUUCACCACAAAGGUGAGGCUUAGUGAAAAGGUCAAGCUUACCAUUUUGACCCUCAACUGCAUGAGUAGAGUAGGCAGCAAUGAACUGAUCAAAGAUGGAGUGUCUGAGAAGGAUCAAGGAACUAUUCAGGAGGUGUUUGAUGGCCUCUAUCCUCCGCCUUGCAUACAAGAUAUUCGCAUCUGCAACUAUUUUGGGAGUCAACUCCCAAGAUGGUUGAUGUCAGUAACAGUGAAGCAGAUGCCCCUCAAUAGCUUAAAAAUUCUAGUGAUGUGGGAUCUGCCUUAUUGCACUCAACUCUCCGAUGGAUUGUGUUUGCUCCCAUGUUUAGAGUACCUAUCCAUCAAGCAAGCUCCAGCGAUCAAGCAUGUUGGGUAUGAAUUCGUGCAGCCCUAUAGUCAUCAUCCUUCAUCCCGGGUUGUGGUUGCAUUUUCAAGACUGCAAGAGAUGACCUUGAAUGGAAUGGAUGAAUGGGAGGAGUGGGAGUGGGAGGAGGAAGUGCAUGCUAUGCCGGCCUUGGAGGAGCUUUUUAUUGAGAGUUGCAAAUUGAGGUGUAUCCCCCCGGCCUUGCCACACAUGCGAGGUCUUUGA